This is a long non-coding RNA of Ornithodoros turicata, 311 nucleotides long. RefSeq lists it as uncharacterized. The transcript has 2 exons. The record is from RefSeq and is a predicted model, not a curated record. NCBI's taxonomy places the organism in Eukaryota, Metazoa, Arthropoda, Arachnida, Ixodida, Argasidae.
AUGUUCCUGCCGUUGAUGGCCAUGUUGUGUGGGUCCACUGUAUUGGCCAAACCGGCCAUGAUGCAUCGUCAGGGCUACUGAGCGUGAGACCUUCCGGAGGAUGCAUAUCUGUUCAUUACUCCAGAUGUAGCUGAAGACAGACUUGUCAUGUCAUCCCUGUGGCCAUGCACCACUCCUGAGGACUUCACGAUCCACAGGUUGGCAUCAAGCAUGUUGAAAGUGAUCUUCGUGCUCUGUAUAGUACCCUUCUUCCAUGGUCUACUCUGCGUCGUGCGUGCGGGUGUUUUCUUCGAAUAAAGUUGUUAGUUGCA